This 5887-nucleotide long non-coding RNA is filed under the name Homo sapiens (human). Its description in RNAcentral is "non-protein coding lnc-SCGB3A1-3:1". Lineage: Eukaryota; Metazoa; Chordata; Mammalia; Primates; Hominidae. The record is from RNAcentral.
GCUGCGGGCCCUGCCUCCCUGCCUGCCGCCCUCCAUCCCUUCCUCUCCGUCCAUCCUUCGUCUCCUUCUGUUCCCGCUCUCCUCGCUCCUUUCCUGCCUUGGCACUUCUGUUUUCUCCUCUCCUUAGCGCUCCUCCAUUUUUCAUCUACUUCUUUUUCCGCCCCAGGUUGUCCACUUUUUUUUUGUUUUUUGAGACGGUGUCUUGCUCUUUCACCCAGGCCAGAGUGCAGUGGGGCGAUCUUGGCUCACUGCAAGCUCCGCCUCCCGGGUUCACACCAUUCUCCUGCCUCAGCCUCCCGAGUAGCUGGGACUACAGGCGCCCGCCACCGCGCCCGGCUCAUUUUUUGUAUUUUUAGUAGAGACGGGGUUUCACCGUGUUAGCCAGGAUGGUCUCCAUCUCCUGACCUCGUGAUCCGCCCACCUCCGCCUCCCAAAGUGCUGGGAUGGCAGGCGUGAGCCACCGCGCCCGGCUGGGUUGUCCACUUUUAUCUCCUCUUUUCCUUGAUCGUCCUCCCCUUUUUUUCUCCUCUUCCUUUUCCUUAAGCCUUCGCCUGUCAAUCACGUCGAAACACAGUAUUUGACCGGAGCCAGUAUCUUGAUCUGCCUAAAGACAAGACAUUCAAUCGUGAACAGUCGAAUAUUAUUCCUUCCUCAAUUAUACAAAGAAGAGCCUCACAAGCGGGAAAGAUGCCACCAACACCUGCAGGCUUAGAUUCUACCAGCUUCUCCGCUUAGAGAAGGUGCUUCUUUCCUAAUGAUUCCAGCCAAAGACCCAGGGCAGGCUCUCACUGGCCUGGCCUGGGCCUUGUUUCUACUGCAGUCAGGCAGUACCAAAGCAGGACCAGUCUGGGAUUGAUACGUGCUAAGCGAGGACAGCAUGAAUUGGUGGCAGCCAGUGCCAUCUUCCCCACCACAUGGAGAGAUGAGACACUGGUGAAGAUGUGGAGUCUCAGAGCAAGGGCCUGACAACUUGUUUCAGUAGUUUUUUCCUUUAGCUCGUGACCUAUACCAGAACCUAUUCCAGGUAUACAAACCAAUACUUUUUUUUUUUCGCUUAAGUUUGAGUUUGGCUUCUGUAGCUUACAACCAAAAUAAUUCUAAUUUGACCAGUAAAUGCGUUGCACAGAGGGAUGCGUCACCAGAAUAGGGUCAUCAUCCGAUGUGCACAGCAAGUCAAUGCGCCAAGACACCAGGCUGCAGCAGAGGAGGUUUGAAUCCUAGGGCCACUGGAUGUGGAGACAAGAAGAAACCAAAUCUGCCUCCCUGAUGAGUUUGGGGCUAGGAUUUUCAAGGGUUUUGGAGUGGGCUGAAGAAUGGAGAUUGCUGGUUUGUCAAGGAGAGCAGGAUGAAGCCGUGCUGAUUCUCAUGCUGAUUGGUUCCUUUGGGCAAGGGUUGGGGGUCUUCAAACUGGUUGGCAUCACCUGUUCGACUGGAGUUCAGGAUCUGCUUGAGCACUUCUUUCAUAUUUAUUUACUUAUUUUUGUUUUUUUAUUUUUUUCCCUGAGACAGAGUCUUGCUCUGUUGCCCAGGCUGGAGCACAGUGGCACAAUCUCGGCUUGUUGCAAGCUCCACCUCCCAGAUUCAAGCAAUUCUCCUGCCUCAGUUUCCCGAGUAGCUGGGAUUACAGAGGCACACCACCACACCCAGCUAAUUUUUGUAUUUUUAGUAGAGACGGGGUUUCACCACGUUGGCCAGGCUGGUCUUGAACUCCUGACCUCGUGAUUUACCCGCCUCGGCCUCCCAAAAUGCUGGGAUUACAGGUGUGAGCCACUGUACCCGGCCUAUAUUUAUUUAUGUUACUGUAUUUUUGAGACAGGUUCUCACUCUGUCACCCAGGCUGGAGUGCAGUGGCAUGAUCACGGCUCACUGCAGUCUCAACCUCCUUGGGCUCAGGUGAUCCUCCCACCUCAGCCUCCGGAGAGGCUGGGACUGCAGGCAUACACCACACCCCGUUAAUUGUUGUUGUUGACAUGGGGUUUCACCUUGUUGCCCAGGCUGGUCUCCAGCUCCUGCCCUCAAGCAAUCUGCCCGCCUCGGCCUCCCAAAGUGCUAGUAUUACAGGCGUGAGCCACUGUGCCAGGCUGCUUAAGUGAUUUUUAAACAAAAGCCUUAGGACCCUAACAUCAGAAAUCCCAUCUGUAGUAACAGCGGGGGUGCAUAAUGGUCAGUGUCCGGAGCUACAUGACUUUCUGUUACAAGGAAGUGGGCCUAAGUGCCGCCUGAUUAAUGCUUAAUUAUAACUAUAUUUCUGUCCGGGAUUCCUGUUAACUCUGAGAGGGUGGCCUCAGAUGGGUGGUUCAGUAAUGAAAAUGGACACCUAGGUGAUGGCCAUGAUUGUUGAUGUUGCCGUGGUGUCUGUCACUCAAACAUGACUGGGGCAUUGGAAUUCCAACCUGGGACUGAUGGAGAAUGUUGCUGUGGUUUGAAUAUUUGUCUCCUCCAGCACUCAUGAAGACAGAAUUAACAAUCAAAAGAGAAACAAAGCAGACAAAUUUGCAAAACUCAGCCUGGCCAUGUAGAAUGAAAAAGUGUGUUCAAAAGCAGAAACCAAGGGUGGCCCAGUGGUCUUUCACCAAGAUUAGUACAGAGAAAAAGGAUCAUCAAAGAGCAUGGAGCUGGUCACUCACGGUGGCUCACACCUGUAAUCCCAGCACUUUGGGAGGACGAGGCGGGGUGGAUCACCUGAGAUCAGGAGUUCGCGACCAGCCUGGCCAACAUGCUGAAACCAACCCCGUCUCUACUAAAAAUACAAAAAAUUAGCCGGGCGUGUUGGCAGUCGCCUGUAAUCCCAGCUACUUGGGAGGCUGAGGCAGGAGAAUUGCUUGAACCUGGGAGGUGGAGGUUGCAGCGAGCCGAGAUCAUGCCGUUGUACUCCAGCCUGGGCAACAAGAGCAAAACUCCACCUCAAAAAAAAAAAAAAAAAAAUAGAAGAAAGACCUCUAGGGCAUUUUGGAGGUCUUUGAGGCUACACUUGCUGUCACAGGCUCUGAGGCCUAGAGGGCCUAGAGGGCAGAAUGGUUUCAAGGGAUGGCCCAGUAUUGAGAGGUGGGGUCUUUAAGAGGUGAUUGGGCCAUGAGGACUCUCCCAGGCUGGCAGAUCGCUUGAGCUCAGGAGGUUGAGACCAGCCUGAGCAACAUAGCAAAACCCCAUCUCUACAAAAAAUACAAAAAAUGAGCGGGUUUUGGUAGAUAUUGCCAAAUGGCUCUUUGAAAAGUCUGUACCAGUUUAUAUUUCCACCAACAGUGUAUAAAAGUCUGUUUCCUUUUUUCAAGUCAACUAAAACUCUGUCUCCGACUCUGUUUCUCUCUGUCUCUUACACAUACAUGAAUAAGAGUCUAAGGGAAAUAAGUAUUUGAAUUUCACAGUAUGUAUAUAUGAAGGUAAAUAAUUCCUCAAAGUUUCUCUGACAAUGUUCUCAAGGUUAGGUUACCCUAUUUUCUUUAACUGAGGUAAAAUUCAGCCCACAUGAAUGAAUGAAUUCAUUCAUGGAUUAAUUAAUGGGUUAUCAUGGGAGAGGAACUGGUGGCUUUGUAGGAAGAGGAAGACAGACCUGAGCUAGCACCUUCGCACACCCAUCCCUGUUGCCAUCUGAUGCCUUGUGCUGCUUUGGGACUGCAGGGAGUCCCCACCAGCAGGAAGUCCCCACCAGAUGUGGCCCCUUGACUUUGGACUUCUCAGCCUGCAGAACUGUAAGAAAUAAAUUCCUUUUCCAUAUAAAUUACCCAGUUUAAGAUACUCUGUUAUAGGCAAAAGAAAACGAAUGAAGACAAAUGUGGACCAUUACUGUAUGGGUCCAGCAGCUGGAUUUGCCAGGGGCCCCAGAGAUAUGCAGUGUCGAUUACAGACUGACCACAAGAACCAAAAUGCGCAGGAGAAUGAUGAAUGAAGCAGGUCCCAAGGUUUAUUUGCAAGAAAAAUUUGAACAGCCGUGUGACAAACCCGCUUCUAGUAGGAAAGCACAUUCUAGAGGGAAGCAAAGCCAUUCGGAGGUUGUUUGGUGAGUCUGAAAUACAGACCUGUGGAGCCAUUCAGCUCUUAACAGUCUGACACCUCCUCUCUAGGGCUGCAGGCUUAGUGGCCAAAGACCAGCGCUGGUGACAAAAAUUUCCCACUGCCAUGCAGUGCCAGAGACAUGGACACACCCUGGACAUCUGUCUCCCUUUCUCUGGACUUGAGGCUUGCAGGCCACAGUUCUCCUUAGAUAGGGCCUGGUAUCGUAGAUGAAGUUUCAGAUCCCAAUCAUAUCUUACCCCUAUUAUCCUUUGUCCCUGAGCCCAUUGUAUUAGCCUGCAAUUGGCUGAAAACCUAACUCAAACAGCUUUAAGAGGGGGACAAAGGAAUUAGUUGGCUCACGUAGCAUUAAAAGACCAGGAAGAUGGCCAGGCAUGGUGGUUCAAGCCUGUAAUCCCAGCACUUUGGGAGGCCAAGGCAGGCGGAUCAUGAGGUCAGGAGAUGGAGACCAUCCUGGCUAAUACAGUGAAACCCCGUCUCUACUGAAAAUACAAAAAAAAAUAGCUGGGUGUGGUGGCGGGCGCCUGUAGUCCCAGCCACUCGGGAGGCUGAGGCAGGAGAAUGGUGUGAACCCGGGAGGUGGAGCUUGCAGUGAGCUGAGAUCGCACCACUGCACUCCAGCCUGGGCGACAAAGCGAGACUCCAUCUCAAAAAAAAAGAAAGACCAGGAAGAGUCCACUAGCUGCAGGUGUGGCUUGAUCUGGGAGCUAAUGCCACUCGGUUCUGCUCACCUCCAUGGUGACUUUAUCAUCAGGUGCCACAUUCAAGAAAAGGGGAUACCAUCUCCUUCAAGGUUCAAGCCUGGCAGGAAAGAGAAUGUCCCCAAAAUGGUCGAACAGAGGUCCUAGGCCUGACUCAUUUCCAUCUCUGAAUCAAACACCAUGUUCUGGCAUGUGUCAUACACCAGUCAGGAAGAAGUCACAUGCCCUACUUGUGGAGGCAGAUCGUCUUCAGCUGCACUCAAGCAUAUAUGGAAAGAGUUGAUGGGGGCCGGGUGCGGGAGCUCAUGCCUGUAAUCCCAGCACUUUGGGAGGCUGUGGCGGAUGGAUCACUUGGCGCCAGGAGUUCGAGACCAGCCUUGCCCACAUGGUAAAACCCUGUCUCUACUAAAAAUACAAAAAAUUAGCCAGGCAUGGUAGCGCAUGCUUGUAAUCUCAGCUACUUGGGAGGCUGAAGCAGAAGAAUCAUUGAACCUGGGAGGCAGAGGUUGCAGUGAGCCAAGAUCACACCAUUGCACUCCAGCCUGGGCAACAAGAGUGAAACUCUGUCUCAAAAAAAAAAAAAAAAUUAGUGUGGAGUAGUCAGAGGAAAAUCAGGGAUACCGUUGCUGGAAGAAAGAGGAAUAGAAGCAGCAAGGAAGAAAGGCAGAGGCCUGAGGUCCACGUAGAAGCAGCAAGGAAGAAAGAGGCAGAGGCCCGAGGUCCACGUAGAAGCAGCAAGGAAGAAAGAGGCAGAGGCCUGAGGUCCACGUAGAAGCAGCAAGGAAGAAAGGCAGAGGCCCGAGGUCCACGUAGAAGCAGCAAGGAAGAAAGAGGCAGAGGCCCGAGGUCCACGUAGAAGCAGCAAGGAAGAAAGAGGCAGAGGCCCGAGGUCCACGUAGAAGCAGCAAGGAAGAAAGAGGCAGAGGCCCGAGGUCCACGUAGAAGCAGCAAGGAAGAAAGAGGCAGAGGCCCGAGGUCCACGUAGAAGCAGCAAGGAAGAAAGAGGCAGAGGCCCGAGGUCCACGUAGAAGCAGCAAGGAAGAAAGAGGCAGAGGCCCGAGGUCCACGUAGAAGCAGCAAGGAAGAAAGAGGCAGAGGCCCGAGGUCCACGUAGAAGCAGCAAGGAAGAAAGAGGCAGAGGCCCGAGGUCCACGUAGAAGCAGCAAGGAAGAAAG